RNAcentral lists this ribosomal RNA (1379 nucleotides) under Microbacterium sp. RNAcentral's name for it is "bacterial SSU rRNA". It matches the Rfam family "Bacterial small subunit ribosomal RNA". The record is from RNAcentral. Lineage: Bacteria; Bacillati; Actinomycetota; Actinomycetes; Micrococcales; Microbacteriaceae.
AGUCGAACGGUGAAGCCAAGCUUGCUUGGUGGAUCAGUGGCGAACGGGUGAGUAACACGUGAGCAACCUGCCCUGGACUCUGGGAUAAGCGCUGGAAACGGCGUCUAAUACUGGAUAUGAGACGUGAUCGCAUGGUCGUGUUUGGAAAGAUUUUUCGGUCUGGGAUGGGCUCGCGGCCUAUCAGCUUGUUGGUGAGGUAAUGGCUCACCAAGGCGUCGACGGGUAGCCGGCCUGAGAGGGUGACCGGCCACACUGGGACUGAGACACGGCCCAGACUCCUACGGGAGGCAGCAGUGGGGAAUAUUGCACAAUGGGCGGAAGCCUGAUGCAGCAACGCCGCGUGAGGGAUGACGGCCUUCGGGUUGUAAACCUCUUUUAGCAGGGAAGAAGCGAAAGUGACGGUACCUGCAGAAAAAGCGCCGGCUAACUACGUGCCAGCAGCCGCGGUAAUACGUAGGGCGCAAGCGUUAUCCGGAAUUAUUGGGCGUAAAGAGCUCGUAGGCGGUUUGUCGCGUCUGCUGUGAAAUCCCGAGGCUCAACCUCGGGCCUGCAGUGGGUACGGGCAGACUAGAGUGCGGUAGGGGAGAUUGGAAUUCCUGGUGUAGCGGUGGAAUGCGCAGAUAUCAGGAGGAACACCGAUGGCGAAGGCAGAUCUCUGGGCCGUAACUGACGCUGAGGAGCGAAAGGGUGGGGAGCAAACAGGCUUAGAUACCCUGGUAGUCCACCCCGUAAACGUUGGGAACUAGUUGUGGGGACCAUUCCACGGUUUCCGUGACGCAGCUAACGCAUUAAGUUCCCCGCCUGGGGAGUACGGCCGCAAGGCUAAAACUCAAAGGAAUUGACGGGGACCCGCACAAGCGGCGGAGCAUGCGGAUUAAUUCGAUGCAACGCGAAGAACCUUACCAAGGCUUGACAUAUACGAGAACGGGCCAGAAAUGGUCAACUCUUUGGACACUCGUAAACAGGUGGUGCAUGGUUGUCGUCAGCUCGUGUCGUGAGAUGUUGGGUUAAGUCCCGCAACGAGCGCAACCCUCGUUCUAUGUUGCCAGCACGUAAUGGUGGGAACUCAUGGGAUACUGCCGGGGUCAACUCGGAGGAAGGUGGGGAUGACGUCAAAUCAUCAUGCCCCUUAUGUCUUGGGCUUCACGCAUGCUACAAUGGCCGGUACAAAGGGCUGCAAUACCGUGAGGUGGAGCGAAUCCCAAAAAGCCGGUCCCAGUUCGGAUUGAGGUCUGCAACUCGACCUCAUGAAGUCGGAGUCGCUAGUAAUCGCAGAUCAGCAACGCUGCGGUGAAUACGUUCCCGGGUCUUGUACACACCGCCCGUCAAGUCAUGAAAGUCGGUAACACCUGAAGCCGGUGGCCCAACCCUUGUGGAGG